This is a non-coding RNA of Arachis ipaensis, 634 nucleotides long. NCBI's taxonomy places the organism in Eukaryota, Viridiplantae, Streptophyta, Magnoliopsida, Fabales, Fabaceae. The record is from RefSeq and is a predicted model, not a curated record.
ACAUCUCGUCACCCUAAGGCUUUAUUUAAUCGUUAUUAUUGUAUUCUAUUUAAGUGUUUUCUAUGUGGUUUAGGCGAGACUCAUUGAAGACAUAGCACAGGUGGCCAUCCCCACUUAUAAGCCCACUUAACAAGGGCUACCUUGCACAUAUGCCCCUAUUCCAGUACAACCAAAUAGUUUUGAUUGUGGGGUAUAUGCAAUAAAGUUUAUGGAGUACUGGACUGAAGGCGGGAAUGUGAAUGACUGGGAUUAUGACACUAUCAAGUUAUAUAGGUUGGAGAUAAUGCUUGACAUCAUCCUAUGUCACAAAAAUUUAGACAUUGGAGAUGCUCUGAAUGCCGUUAGCAGCCAUAAUCGACCUCCUGUGCGCCGCAACCAACCAAGGAACAAAUGUAAGGAGGUUAGGACUCCGUUUACAGCACCUGGGACAAAGCGCAUACUUUGGCGAGCUGCAGGGGUGCAAAAGAAAUAGACGCACAAAAGAAGAUAGAUAUCAAAAGAAAAAGCCUAUAUAUUACAUUCUAGUUUACUUAGGGUAGAGUUAUCCUCACAUUGUGAGAUAUUUUUUGUUGGGUCUAAAUAUUUUCCUUGUUUUACACAAAGGAAUCUUGUUUUGGAUUCUUGUUCCUUCACA